Molecule: non-coding RNA, 99 nt
Filed under: Marinobacter antarcticus
Lineage: Bacteria; Pseudomonadati; Pseudomonadota; Gammaproteobacteria; Pseudomonadales; Marinobacteraceae
Description: Glycine sequence
Rfam family: Glycine riboswitch aptamer
About the family: This family represents the bacterial glycine riboswitch. Glycine riboswitches usually consist of two metabolite-binding aptamers domains with similar structures in tandem.
Source: Rfam by way of RNAcentral
GACGUGUUAGCGGGAGAGAUCGUAUCGCACAACUGUGUGAUCGGCGCCGAAGGAGCAACUGCCCCGGAAACUCUCAGGCAAAAGGACCGUUAACAUGAC